UAAGCAUAUCAAUAAGCGGAGGAAAAGAAACCAACAGGGAUUGCCUCAGUAACGGCGAGUGAAGCGGCAAGAGCUCAAAUUUGAAAGCUGGCCCCCUCGGGGUCCGCAUUGUAAUUUGCAGAGGAUGCUUCGGGAGUGGCCCCCAUCUAAGUGCUCUGGAACGGGCCGUCAUAGAGGGUGAGAAUCCCGUAUGGGAUGGGGUGUCCGCGACCAUGUGAAGCUCCUUCAACGAGUCGAGUUGUUUGGGAAUGCAGCUCUAAAUGGGUGGUAAAUUUCAUCUAAAGCUAAAUAUUGGCCGGAGACCGAUAGCGCACAAGUAGAGUGAUCGAAAGAUGAAAAGCACUUUGAAAAGAGAGUUAAAAAGCACGUGAAAUUGUUGAAAGGGAAGCGCUUGCGACCAGACUCGCCUACGGGGUUCAGCCGGUAUUCGUACCGGUGUACUUCCCCGUGGGCGGGCCAGCGUCGGUUUGGGCGGCCGGUCAAAGGCCCUCGGAAUGUAACGCCUCUCGGGGCGCCUUAUAGCCGAGGGUGCCAUGCGGCCAGCCCAGACCGAGGAACGCGCUUCGGCACGGACGCUGGCAUAAUGGUCGUAAGCGACCCGUCU
This 604-nucleotide ribosomal RNA is filed under the name Penicillium sp. RNAcentral describes it as "eukaryotic LSU rRNA". It matches the Rfam family "Eukaryotic large subunit ribosomal RNA", at positions 35 to 654 of the family's 3401-position model. Lineage: Eukaryota; Fungi; Ascomycota; Eurotiomycetes; Eurotiales; Aspergillaceae. The record is from RNAcentral.